RNAcentral lists this ribosomal RNA (253 nucleotides) under uncultured bacterium. Its description in RNAcentral is "partial 16S ribosomal RNA". It matches the Rfam family "Bacterial small subunit ribosomal RNA", at positions 524 to 776 of the family's 1533-position model. The record is from RNAcentral.
UACGGAGGGUGCAAGCGUUGUUCGGAAUUAUUGGGCGUAAAGCGCGUGUAGGCGGCUAGAUAAGUCUGAUGUGAAAGCCCGGGGCUUAACCCCGGAAGUGCAUUGGAUACUAUCUGGCUAGAGGGUCGGAGAGGGAAGCGGAAUUCUUGGUGUAGGGGUGAAAUCCGUAGAUAUCAAGAGGAACACCGAUGGCGAAGGCAGCUUCCUGGCCGACUUCUGACGCUGAGACGCGAAAGCGUGGGUAGCAAACAGG